Molecule: ribosomal RNA, 305 nt
Filed under: uncultured bacterium
Lineage: Bacteria
Description: bacterial SSU rRNA
Rfam family: Bacterial small subunit ribosomal RNA
Source: RNAcentral
UUUGCCUACGGGAGGCAGCAGUGAGGAAUAUUGGUCAAUGGUCGGGAGACUGAACCAGCCAAGCCGCGUGAGGGAGGAAGGUACGGAGUAUCGUAAACCUCUUUUGUCAGGGAACAAAGACUGGGACGCGUCCCCGGAUGAGUGUACCUGCAGAAGAAGCUCCGGCUAACUACGUGCCAGCAGCCGCGGUAAUACGUAGGGAGCGAGCGUUAUCCGGAUUCAUUGGGCGUAAAGCGCGCGUAGGCGGCUGCCUAAGCGGAACCUCUAACCCCGGGGCUCAACCUCGGGCCGGGUUCCGAACUGGG